GUGAACGUGAUGAGAUGAGAUGUGGAGCCGGAAGCUUGCUCGGUCUCCUGCUUAUCUAUGAAAUGUGUAACGAACAACGCUUCGAUCUGGACCAGAAAGGCCUCCGUCUCUGGGAUCUCUGGGAGAACCGUCCUAAGUGAUGCAUGUGAGGGAGGAGUCUCUGCGGUAGAGUCUUUCCAUGGGCACACAACUGCAGAAAAAGUCACACAGAGGGUCACACAGUAAACGAAACUGGCACAGAUGACCAACACUACCAUACUCAAGAAUUUCGACUGUUUUCGCUGUGCUGUGAAAAUACUAUUUGUGCAAAACGUCUAAAAUGACUUGUUAAAAUGAAGUGAAGAAAAUGCUGAAUUUUGUAAAAUGCACCAAAUUGUUCAAUCUUUGACCACAAUUGUAAAUGAAGCCCAGAGAGGGAAAUUUAUGAUCAUUGCAUUGGUAUGGGUAAUCAAAAUUUUUUGACUAGUUUUGCAACACACCAACAGAUGGCAGCACAAGGCUGCACACACAGUCACAGGAAUCGCUGACCUUCAUAAGUCGUCGCUGUAUCCCUGUGCAGGGGGACUGUUUUGAAGGUGCUAGUGUGUAAUAAUAGAUAAAUAAAUUUCUUUUUUGUAAACGGA
Silurus meridionalis is the source of this 623-nucleotide long non-coding RNA. RefSeq lists it as uncharacterized. Lineage: Eukaryota; Metazoa; Chordata; Actinopteri; Siluriformes; Siluridae. The record is from RefSeq and is a predicted model, not a curated record. The transcript is spliced from 2 exons.